RNAcentral lists this ribosomal RNA (498 nucleotides) under uncultured bacterium. RNAcentral's name for it is "partial 16S ribosomal RNA". It matches the Rfam family "Bacterial small subunit ribosomal RNA", at positions 28 to 507 of the family's 1533-position model. The record is from RNAcentral.
GAUGAACGCUGGCGGCGUGCCUAAUACAUGCAAGUCGAGCGAACUUUUGGGAGCUUGCUCCCAAAAGUUAGCGGCGGACGGGUGAGUAACACGUGGGUAACCUGUCUGUAAGACUGGGAUAACUUCGGGAAACCGGAGCUAAUACCGGAUAACAUUGAAGACCACAUGGUCUUCAAUUAAAAGGUGGCCUUUAGCUACCACUUACAGAUGGACCCGCGGCGCAUUAGCUAGUUGGUGAGGUAACGGCUCACCAAGGCGACGAUGCGUAGCCGACCUGAGAGGGGGAGCGGCCACACUGGGACUGAGACACGGCCCAGACUCCUGCGGGAGGCAGCAGUAGGGAAUCUUCCGCAAUGGACGAAGGUCUGACGGAGCAACGCCGCGUGAGCGAAGAAGGCCGUCAGGUCGUAAAGCUCUGUUGUUAGGGAAGAACAAGUAUCGUUCGAAUAGGGCAGUACCUUGACGGUACCUAACCAGAAAGCCACGGCUAACUACGUG